RNAcentral lists this non-coding RNA (165 nucleotides) under uncultured Parabacteroides sp. The record is from RNAcentral. Lineage: Bacteria; Pseudomonadati; Bacteroidota; Bacteroidia; Bacteroidales; Tannerellaceae.
AAGAAGCGCAUGAAAAGGGAAUCCGGUGUGAAUCCGGGACAGUGCCCGCUACUGUAAAUCCCCUAUGAGGUGGAGAGUUAUCCACUCUUUUGCCACUGUCUGCCAAACGGUAGACGGGAAGGCGAACUCUCCCGGGGAAAGUCAGGAAACCUGCCUGAGCUGUAA